ACGGGUGAGUAACACGUAUGCAAUCCACCUGUAACAGGGGGAGUAACCCGGAGAAAUCCGGACUAAUACCCCAUAAUAUGGGCGCUCCGCAUGGAGAGUCCAUUAAAGAGAGCAAUCUUGGUUACAGACGAGCAUGCGCUCCAUUAGCCAGUUGGCGGGGUAACGGUCCACCAAGGCGACGAUGGAUAGGGGUUCUGAGAGGAAGGUCCCCCACAUUGGAACUGAGACACGGUCCAA
RNAcentral lists this ribosomal RNA (237 nucleotides) under uncultured bacterium. Its description in RNAcentral is "partial 16S ribosomal RNA". It matches the Rfam family "Bacterial small subunit ribosomal RNA", at positions 102 to 334 of the family's 1533-position model. The record is from RNAcentral.